RNAcentral lists this ribosomal RNA (467 nucleotides) under uncultured bacterium. RNAcentral's name for it is "partial 16S ribosomal RNA". It matches the Rfam family "Bacterial small subunit ribosomal RNA", at positions 28 to 506 of the family's 1533-position model. The record is from RNAcentral.
GACGAACGCUGGCGGCGUGCUUAACACAUGCAAGUCGAACGGAAAGGCCCUGCUUUUGUGGGGUGCUCGAGUGGCGAACGGGUGAGUAACACGUGAGUAACCUGCCCUUGACUUUGGGAUAACUUCAGGAAACUGGGGCUAAUACCGGAUAGGAGCUCCUGCUGCAUGGUGGGGGUUGGAAAGUUUCGGCGGUUGGGGAUGGACUCGCGGCUUAUCAGCUUGUUGGUGGGGUAGUGGCUUACCAAGGCUUUGACGGGUAGCCGGCCUGAGAGGGUGACCGGCAACAUUGGGACUGGGAAACGGCCCAGACUCCUACGGGAGGCAGCGGUGGGGAAUAUUGCACAAUGGGCGGAAGCCGGAUGCAGCAACGCCGCGUGCGGGAUGACGGCCUUCGGGUUGUAAACCGCUUUCGCCUGUGACGAAGCGUGGGUGACGGUAAUGGGUAAGGAAGCACCGGCUAACUACGU